AUGCACGAGUAUUAAAGGAAAUCUUGUUUCCUUGUAGAAGUAUGAAUCUUUGCGGACCUUUCUAGGCUAUCUGAUUACUAACCAUAUUUCGGGACAAAUCUAGAAUUACAUUGUCAAUAAAGCAACUUGAGGAAGAUCCACUCCUGGAAACUCUGGAAAAAGUAAUGCCUCAGGAUGCAUCAUCAAGUCCUGAUUACUCAGAAAAUAGCUAUGAAAUUGAGCCUCUUCCUGGCCUGGAGAUAAUAUUUCAAGAGCUACUGCAGGAAGAUGGCAUUAAAGAUGUGAAAAUCAAUCGACAAGGAUUUGAGAAACGAA
Molecule: non-coding RNA, 315 nt
Organism: Coffea arabica (coffee)
Lineage: Eukaryota; Viridiplantae; Streptophyta; Magnoliopsida; Gentianales; Rubiaceae
Source: RefSeq, a predicted model, not a curated record